AUAAGCUUCACCACUCGCUCAACCUUCACCAAUUACCAGUCCCUGGGCUCUGUCCAGGUGCCUGGCCAGUCAGCAGCACAGCCAUCAUCUAUGCAGGCAUGGGGGGUUCUGGUUCCAGGAUCUCCGUGUCCUGCUUCACCAGCUUCAAGGCCCAUGGGGUUCAGGGGCCUGGCUGCGGGGAUAGCCAGGGGUCUGACAGGAAUGGGAGGCAUCCAGAACGAGAAGACCAUGCAGACCCUGAACUACUGCCUGGCCUCCUACCUGGACAGAGUGAGGAGCCUGAGGACCAAGAACCGGAAGGUGGAGAGCAAAAUCUGGGAGCACCUGGAGAAGAUGGGACCUCAGGUCAGAGACAAGCCAUUACUUCAAGACCAUCAAGGACCUGAGGGCUCAGAUCUUCACAAAUACUGUGGACAAUGCCCACAUCGUUCUGCAGAUCGACAGUUCCAUCUUGCUGCUGAUGACUUUAGACCCAAGUGUGAGACAGAGCUGGCCAUGUGCCAGUCUGUGGAGAGCAACAUCCAUGGCUUUGCAAAGUCAUUGAUGACACCAAUGUCACUCGGCUGCGGUUGGAGACAGAGAUCAAGGUUCUCAGGGAGGAGCUGCUCUUUAUGAAGAAGAACCACAAAGAGGAAGUAAAAGGACUACAAGCCAAGGUCGACAGCUCUGGGUUGACCAGGGAGGUAGUUGCCCCCAAAGCUCAGGACCUUGCCAAGAUCAUGGCAGACAUCCAGGCCCAAUACGACGAGGUAGCUCAGAAGAACCGAGAGGAGCUGGACAAGUACCAGUCUCAGCAGAUUGAGGAGAGUAUAUAGUGGUCACCACGCAGUCCACCAAGGUUGUAGCUGCUGAGAUGAUGCUCACAGAGCUUAGAUGUACAGUCCAGUCCUUGAAGAUCGACCUGGACUCAAUGAGAAAUCUGAAGGCCAGCUUGGAGAACAGCCUGAGGGAGGUGGAGGCAUGUUAAGCCCUGCAGAUGGAGCAGAUCAACAGGAUCCUGCUGCACCUGGAGUCAGAGCUGGUACAGACCCUGGCAGAGGGGCAGUACCAGGCCCAGGAGUACAAGGCCCCGCUGAACAUCAAAGUCAAGCAGGAGGCUGAGAUCGCCACCUACCACCGCCUGCUGGAAGAUGGCGAGGACUUCAAUCUUGGUGAUGUCCUGGACAGCAGCAACUCCAAGCAAACCAUCCAAAAGACCACAACCCGCCAGAUGGUGGAUGGCAAAAUGGUGUCUGAGACCAACAACACCAAAGUUCUCAGACAUUAA
Molecule: long non-coding RNA, 1267 nt
Filed under: Homo sapiens (human)
Lineage: Eukaryota; Metazoa; Chordata; Mammalia; Primates; Hominidae
Description: non-protein coding lnc-ZNF85-5:1
Source: RNAcentral